CACACGUGAGAAACGCGUGCGCCGAUUGACUAAGGGUUCCUGGGUCAAGCUGAUCUGCCCAGGGUAAGUCGGGACCUAAGGCGAGGCCGACAGGCGUAGUCGAUGGAUAACCGGUUGAUAUUCCGGUACCCGCUGUGAAGCGUCAAACAUCGAAUCCAGUGAUGCUAAGCCCGUGAAGCCGUUCCGGACCCUUCGGGGAAAGGAAAGUGGUGGAGCCGGUGACCCGAUCUGGUAGUAGGUGAGUGAUGGGGUGACGCA
Molecule: non-coding RNA, 258 nt
Filed under: Streptomyces afghaniensis 772
Lineage: Bacteria; Bacillati; Actinomycetota; Actinomycetes; Kitasatosporales; Streptomycetaceae
Description: Bacterial large subunit ribosomal RNA
Rfam family: Bacterial large subunit ribosomal RNA
Source: Rfam by way of RNAcentral